Molecule: unclassified non-coding RNA, 151 nt
Filed under: soil metagenome
Description: partial internal transcribed spacer 1
Source: RNAcentral
GCGAGUAUGGCCCUCACGGGUCUAAUCCACCAUAAACACCUUUGUGAACCAGUCAGGGGGACUCGGCCGUGAAAGCCCAGGCGAUUAGCGGAAGGGCCCCCCUUUGCAAACCCGUUUAGAAGUCUUGAAAGUACUUUUGUAUAAUCUAGUA